UACGGAGGGUGCAAGCAUUAAUCGGAUUUAUUGGGCGUAAAGGGCGCGUAGGCGGAAAAAUAAGUCGGGCGUGAAAUCCCGGGGCUCAACCUCGGAACAGCGCUUGAAACUAUUUUCCUUGAGGGUAGGCGGAGAAAACGGAAUUCCACAAGUAGCGGUGAAAUGCGUAGAUAUGUGGAAGAACACCUGUGGCGAAGGCGGUUUUCUAGCUUACUCCUGACGCUGAGGCGCGAAAGCAAGGGGAUCAAAC
Molecule: ribosomal RNA, 250 nt
Filed under: uncultured bacterium
Lineage: Bacteria
Description: partial 16S ribosomal RNA
Rfam family: Bacterial small subunit ribosomal RNA
Source: RNAcentral